AUUGAACGCUGGCGGCAUGCCUUACACAUGCAAAUCGAACGGUAACGGGCCUUCGGGUGCCGACGCGUGGCGAACGGGUGAGUAAUACAUCGGAACGUGCCCGAUCGUGGGGGAUAACGAGGCGAAAGCUUUGCUAAUACCGCAUACGAUCUACGGAUGAAAGCAGGGGACCGCAAGGCCUUGCGCGGACGGAGCGGCCGAUGGCGGAUUAGGUAGUUGGUGGGAUAAAAGCUUACCAAGCCGACGAUCUGUAGCUGGUCUGAGAGGAUGAUCAGCCACACUGGGACUGAGACACGGCCCAGACUCCUACGGGAGGCAGCAGUGGGGAAUUUUGGACAAUGGGCGCAAGCCUGAUCCAGCCAUGCCGCGUGCAGGAUGAAGGCCUUCGGGUUGUAAACUGAUUUUGUACGGAACGAAAAGCCUUCUUUUAAUACAGGAGGGUCAUGACGGUACCGGAAGAAUAAGCACCGGCUAACUACGUG
This 482-nucleotide ribosomal RNA is filed under the name uncultured bacterium. Its description in RNAcentral is "partial 16S ribosomal RNA". It matches the Rfam family "Bacterial small subunit ribosomal RNA", at positions 30 to 507 of the family's 1533-position model. The record is from RNAcentral.